CCACUCUCAGGGUCACACCUGGAGAGUCUUCAGUACUCUACCAGUCUCGGAUAAGGGAGGGAGAGUCAAGCAGAGGCCUAUCCAUUCCAUUCCUAGCUCAGGCAGCAGCUAGUAGGGGGAAGACAAUCUGCUACAAGU
This is a small nucleolar RNA of Tachyglossus aculeatus (Australian echidna), 138 nucleotides long. Lineage: Eukaryota; Metazoa; Chordata; Mammalia; Monotremata; Tachyglossidae. The record is from RefSeq and is a predicted model, not a curated record.